ACCAGCAGCCAUAUCACCCCGCAACUCACCACUGGCAGCCCCACUGUAGCUCAGCAGGCGGGAGCCUGGUCAGUACCUGGAGGGGAGACCUCCUGGGAAAAACUAAGGUUGCUGCUGGAA
RNAcentral lists this ribosomal RNA (120 nucleotides) under Lepisosteus oculatus (spotted gar). Lineage: Eukaryota; Metazoa; Chordata; Actinopteri; Semionotiformes; Lepisosteidae. The record is from RNAcentral.